AAUGAACGCUGGCGGCAUGCCUUACACAUGCAAGUCGAACGGUAGCGGGCCUUCGGGUGCCGACGAGUGGCGAACGGGUGAGUAAUGUAUCGGAACGUACCAUUGAGUGGGGGAUAACGUAGCGAAAGUUACGCUAAUACCGCAUAUUCUCUCCGGAGGAAAGCAGGGGACCGCAAGGCCUUGCGCUCUUUGAGCGGCCGAUAUCAGAUUAGCUAGUUGGUGAGGUAAAGGCUCACCAAGGCGACGAUCUGUAGCGGGUCUGAGAGGAUGAUCAGCCACACCGGAACUGAGACACGGUCCGGACUCCUACGGGAGGCAGCAGUGGGGAAUAUUGCGCAAUGGGCGAAAGCCUGACGCAGCCAUACCGCGUGUGUGAAGAAGGCCUCGGUUGUAAGCACUUCUAGUGGGAGGAAAGACGGGUGGCGUAAUAUCCAUACGGCCGUGACGCGUACCCACACG
This 459-nucleotide ribosomal RNA is filed under the name uncultured bacterium. Its description in RNAcentral is "bacterial SSU rRNA". It matches the Rfam family "Bacterial small subunit ribosomal RNA", at positions 29 to 485 of the family's 1533-position model. The record is from RNAcentral.